GGUUGUGUGGUGUAAUGGUAUCAUGUCACGUUGUGGAUUGGGUCUUGAACCCUCUACAAUUCCGUGCCGAUCGCGGUUCGAUUCCGCGCACAGCCA
Non-coding RNA from Zalaria obscura, 96 nucleotides. NCBI's taxonomy places the organism in Eukaryota, Fungi, Ascomycota, Dothideomycetes, Dothideales, Zalariaceae. The record is from the annotation of a GenBank genome assembly.